This 357-nucleotide ribosomal RNA is filed under the name uncultured bacterium. Its description in RNAcentral is "bacterial SSU rRNA". It matches the Rfam family "Bacterial small subunit ribosomal RNA", at positions 29 to 411 of the family's 1533-position model. The record is from RNAcentral.
AACGAACGCUGGCGGCAUGCCUAACACAUGCAAGUCGAACGCCUGUAGCAAUACAGGAGUGGCAGACGGGUGCAUAACACGUGGGAACCUACCCUUGGGUUCGGAAUAACCGCGGGAAACUGCGGCUAAUACCGGAUACGUCCUGUGGGAGAAAGAUUCAUCGCCCUUGGAGGGGCCCGCGUCGGAUUAGCUAGUUGGUGAGGUAACGGCUCACCAAGGCGACGAUCCGUAGCUGAUCUGAGAGGAUGAUCAGCCACACUGGUACUGAGACACGGUCCAGACUCCUACGGGAGGCAGCAGUGGGGAAUAUUGGACAAUGGCGGCAAGCCUGAUCCAGCAAUAGCGCGCGGUGGAGUG